Molecule: small nucleolar RNA, 138 nt
Filed under: Ornithorhynchus anatinus (platypus)
Lineage: Eukaryota; Metazoa; Chordata; Mammalia; Monotremata; Ornithorhynchidae
Source: RNAcentral
CCUCUCUCAGGAUCACUUCUAGAGAGUUUCCAGUACUCUACCAGUCUUGGCUAUGGCAGGGAGAGUCAAGCAGAGGCAUACCCAAUCCAUUUCUAGCUUGGCCAGUGGCUAGGAAGUGGAAGGCAAUCUGCUACAAGU